RNAcentral lists this ribosomal RNA (462 nucleotides) under uncultured bacterium. RNAcentral's name for it is "partial 16S ribosomal RNA". It matches the Rfam family "Bacterial small subunit ribosomal RNA", at positions 28 to 507 of the family's 1533-position model. The record is from RNAcentral.
GAUGAACGCUGGCGGCGUGCUUAACACAUGCAAGUCGAACGGAAAGGCCAGUGCUUGCCCUGGUUCUCGAGUGGCGAACGGGUGAGUAACACGUGGGUGAUCUGCCCUGCACUUCGGGAUAAGCCUUGGAAACUGGGUCUAAUACCGGAUAGGACCACUUCGUUGUCGUUGUGGUGGAAAGUGUUUUCGGUGUGGGAUGAGCUCGCGGCCGAUCAGCUUGUUGGUGGGGUAUUGGCCUACUAAGGCGUCGACGGGUAGCCGGCCUGAGAGGGUGUGCGGCCACAUUGGGACUGAGGUACGGCCCGGGCUCCUACGGGAGGCAGCAGUAGGGAAUAUUGCACAAUGGGCGGAAGCCUGAUGCAGCGACGCCGCGUGGGGGAUGACGGCCUUCGGGGUGUAAACUCCUUUCGCCAUAGACGAAUUUUGACGGUAUUUGGAGAAGAAGCACCGGCUAACUACGUG